UCCCUAUACAAAAGCCUCAUGCCUCCUCGCUCUCUCGCAAUUCACAAAGUUUCCAAACAUCUAAAGUUUUCAAUUUUACAAUAUUAUCGCUAUCAUCUGCUUGAUUCUCUGCAAAAAGAGAAGACUUUAACUGAGAAGAAGAAGAAGUCGUCUGAUUUAUUGAAGAAACUCUGCGAAACAAACUCAGUUCUCAUAUCGUUUAAGGGAUUUUAAAAGGCUAAUCGAAGAUGAAUCCAGAAAAGUUCAUACACAAAACAAACGAGACAAUUGCUACAGCUCAUGAGUUAGCUGUGAAUGCAGGACAUGCUCAAUUCACUCCUUUGCAUUUAGCUGGUGCUUUAAUCUCUGACCCCACCGGUAUAUUCCUUCAAGCAAUCUCUAGUGCCGAUAGCGAGAACGCAACUCAAUCGAAAACCUAAUCUGAUAUGGGCCGCCGUCAGGUUUAAAAAAAAAAAAGACCAAAAUAUUGGAGGGGUGUGGUGAUCGAACUCAUGUUCACGAGAAUAAUAAAAUCUCACAUAACCAAUGGACUAGGAUAAUAUGUUCGUAAUGACUAGAAAAACAAUUGAAUACAAGUAAACAAAUAUUAUAG
This 592-nucleotide small RNA is filed under the name Arabidopsis thaliana (thale cress). RNAcentral describes it as "putative long intergenic non-coding RNA". Lineage: Eukaryota; Viridiplantae; Streptophyta; Magnoliopsida; Brassicales; Brassicaceae. The record is from RNAcentral.